RNAcentral lists this ribosomal RNA (253 nucleotides) under uncultured bacterium. Its description in RNAcentral is "partial 16S ribosomal RNA". It matches the Rfam family "Bacterial small subunit ribosomal RNA", at positions 524 to 776 of the family's 1533-position model. The record is from RNAcentral.
UACGAAGGGGGCUAGCGUUGCUCGGAAUCACUGGGCGUAAAGCGCACGUAGGCGGAUUGCUAAGUCAGGGGUGAAAUCCUGGAGCUCAACUCCAGAACUGCCUUCGAUACUGGAGAGCUUGAGUCCGGGAGAGGUGAGUGGAAUUCCCAGUGUAGCGGUGAAAUGCGUAGAUAUUGGGAGGAACACCAGUGGCGAAGGCGGCUCACUGGACCGGUUCUGACGCUGAGGCGCGAAAGCGUGGGGAGCAAACGGG